CCUACGGGUGGCAGCAGUGAGGAAUAUUGGUCAAUGGACGAGAGUCUGAACCAGCCAAGUAGCGUGAAGGAUGACUGCCCUAUGGGUUGUAAACUUCUUUUAUAUGGGAAUAAAACGUUCCACGUGUGGGAUUUUGUAUGUACCAUAUGAAUAAGGAUCGGCUAACUCCGUGCCAGCAGCCGCGGUAAUACGGAGGAUCCGAGCGUUAUCAGGAUUUAUUGGGUUUAAAGGGAGCGUAGGUGGAUUGUUAAGUCAGUUGUGAAAGUUUGCGGCUCAACCGUAAAAUUGCAGUUGAAACUGGCAGUCUUGAGUACAGUAGAGGUGGGCGGAAUUCGUGGUGUAGCGGUGAAAUGCUUAGAUAUCACGAAGAACUCCGAUUGCGAAGGCAGUUCACUGGACUGCAACUGACACUGAGGCUCGAAAGUGUGGGUAUCAAACAGGAUUAGAUACCCUUGUAGUC
This 460-nucleotide ribosomal RNA is filed under the name uncultured bacterium. Its description in RNAcentral is "partial 16S ribosomal RNA". It matches the Rfam family "Bacterial small subunit ribosomal RNA", at positions 338 to 795 of the family's 1533-position model. The record is from RNAcentral.